Meriones unguiculatus (Mongolian gerbil) is the source of this 395-nucleotide long non-coding RNA. RefSeq lists it as uncharacterized. Lineage: Eukaryota; Metazoa; Chordata; Mammalia; Rodentia; Muridae. The transcript has 3 exons. The record is from RefSeq and is a predicted model, not a curated record.
GGUUGCUGAAGGACCUAGGUGUGUAAUCCAAAGGACGCAACUGGGAUCCCUGUGCUCCAAGUGCCUGGGCACUCCAGCUUGGCAAACUUCAUGAGCUGGGGCCUCUGCCUGCUCAGCCCCUCUCCUCCGCUCCUCAUCAUCUCACGAGUAGGAGCAUCACCAGGACCCCCUCUCCGCUCUAGCCACACCUGCACUCAGAUAAAGGAGCUUGCCACCAAACCAGACAACCUGAGUUCAGUCCCAAGAGGACCCACAUGAUGGGAAGAGAGAAGCGAUUCCAUUAGUCCUCCAACCUCUAUGUGCACACCAUGGCCUGCACGUGUCCACACACAUGCACACGCUAAAUAAACAGAUGUAAUUUUAAAAAUUUAGAAAUGUCUCCAAACGUUGCCAAA